Molecule: long non-coding RNA, 601 nt
Organism: Helianthus annuus (common sunflower)
Lineage: Eukaryota; Viridiplantae; Streptophyta; Magnoliopsida; Asterales; Asteraceae
Exons: 4
Source: RefSeq, a predicted model, not a curated record
CCCUCUCUCUCUCUCAAAUCAUUUUUUUAUCACAAACCUCUGUUUCUUCUGCUAUAAUGAGAUCUGCGUUAAAAAUCGGACCGAAUUAGUUGUUCUUCGAGUUUAUUAAUCCUUGAACCUGAUCCGUAAUCACGGAUCUGAAUCCGGGAUAAAUCAUUUUUUGGCCACUCGUAUACGUACCAAGAAUCCACUUCGGUAAGCUCUGCUGAACUCAAAGGUGCCACUGCAUAUGAGGUUUCUGGUAAUCGUUGGAGUUAACAAGGGUCCAAGUUGUGGCAAUGAUAUCUUUUCUUCGAGUGCUGUAGCUGGAGCUAGACAAGCCUUAAUUAGCAGAGUAACGUCGUUAUCAAUCUCCUUGAACUAGUAAAUAAGGCUUAUUUUGUGCUUUGCGGGUUUUCCUUUACUUUAAUACUAUUGAGUGCGGUUAACAUACAUUAAGCCUUAUCGUACUUCACGUACGCGACACCAGUAACCGUCGGAUCAGGGCACUAAUCACGCAUAAGACACAAAAUAACGCAUGGGAUCCAUUUUUUGGUGAUAAUCACUCAUGGGGGGGGGGGGUGAUAAUCACGCAUGGAAAGUAUAAUCACGCACGUCACGU